UGGGGAAUAUUGCACAAUGGGCGCAAGCCUGAUGCAGCAACGCCGCGUGAGGGACGACGGCCUUCGGGUUGUAAACCUCUUUUAGUAGGGAAGAAGCGAAAGUGACGGUACCUGCAGAAAAAGCACCGGCUAACUACGUGCCAGCAGCCGCGGUAAUACGUAGGGUGCGAGCGUUGUCCGGAAUUAUUGGGCGUAAAGAGCUCGUAGGCGGUCUGUCGCGUCUGCUGUGAAAACCCGAGGCUCAACCUCGGGCCUGCAGUGGGUACGGGCAGACUAGAGUGCGGUAGGGGAGAAUGGAAUUCCUGGUGUAGCGGUGGAAUGCGCAGAUAUCAGGAGGAACACCGAUGGCGAAGGCAGUUCUCUGGGCCGUAACUGACGCUGAGGAGCGAAAGCGUGGGGAGCGAACAGGAUUAGAUACCCUGGUAGUCCACGCCGUAAACGUUGGGCGCUAGAUGUGGGGACCAUUCCACGGUUUCCGUGUCGCAGCUAACGCAUUAAGCGCCCCGCCUGGGGAGUACGGCCGCAAGGCUAAAACUUGAAAGGAAUU
This 547-nucleotide ribosomal RNA is filed under the name uncultured bacterium. Its description in RNAcentral is "partial 16S ribosomal RNA". It matches the Rfam family "Bacterial small subunit ribosomal RNA", at positions 355 to 911 of the family's 1533-position model. The record is from RNAcentral.